GAAGGAUGAGAAGCUUCGACUAAGGUUCGACUCGAGCGAAGCGAGAGAACGUUGCCGCAGGCAACGGCCCGAAGGGCGAAGCGCUUUAGCGCCGAGUAAUCCUUCCCCCACCACUG
RNAcentral lists this small RNA (116 nucleotides) under Klebsiella pneumoniae. RNAcentral describes it as "partial RtT sRNA". It matches the Rfam family "RtT RNA", at positions 17 to 130 of the family's 130-position model. Rfam says of the family: This family represents a bacterial cis-regulatory element known as RtT RNA. The exact function of RtT is unknown although it is thought that it may be involved in changing the cellular response in relation to amino acid starvation. The record is from RNAcentral. Lineage: Bacteria; Pseudomonadati; Pseudomonadota; Gammaproteobacteria; Enterobacterales; Enterobacteriaceae.